GAAAUGCGAUAAGUAGUGUGAAUUGCAGAAUUCAGUGAAUCAUCGAAUCUUUGAACGCACAUUGCGCCCCUUGGUAUUCCAUGGGGCAUGCCUGUUCGAGCGUCAUUUGUACCCUCAAGGUCUGCUUGGUGUUGGGUGUUUGUCCCGUCUCCGCGCGUGGACUCGCCCCAAAGUGAUUGGCAGCCGGCGUACUGGUCCCGGAGCGCAGCACAUGUCGCGCAAACGAGUGCCUUGGUACGGCGGCGUCCAUAAGCCCCUCUCUCACGCUCUUGACCUCGGAUCAGGUAGGGAUACCCGCUGAACUUAAGC
This 309-nucleotide unclassified non-coding RNA is filed under the name plant metagenome. RNAcentral describes it as "partial contains 5.8S ribosomal RNA, internal transcribed spacer 2, and large subunit ribosomal RNA". The stretch from base 1 to 105 matches the Rfam family "5.8S ribosomal RNA", at positions 50 to 154 of the family's 154-position model. The record is from RNAcentral.